CCUACGGGCGGCAGCAGUAAGGGAUCUUCCGCAAUGGCCGCAAGGCUGACGGAGCGACGCCGCGUGCGCGACGAAGCCCUUCGGGGUGUAAAGCGCUUUUCUCGGGGACGAGUAAGGACGGUACCCGAGGAAGAAGCCUCGGCUAACUACGUGCCAGCAGCCGCGGUAAUACGUAGGAGGCGAGCGUUGUCCGGAAUCACUGGGCGUAAAGCGCGUGUAGGCGGAUGAGUAAGUCUGUGGUGAAAGCGCCUGGCUUAACCGGGUGAGGUCCAUGGAAACUAUUCGUCUGGAGGCCGGUAGAGGGGGGUGGAAUUCCGGGUGUAGUGGUGAAAUGCGUAGAGAUCCGGAGGAACACCCGUGGCGAAGGCGGCCCCCUGGGCCGCGCCUGACGCUGAGACGCGAAAGCGCGGGGAGCGAACGGGAUUAGAUACCCUUGUAGU
Molecule: ribosomal RNA, 440 nt
Filed under: uncultured bacterium
Lineage: Bacteria
Description: bacterial SSU rRNA
Rfam family: Bacterial small subunit ribosomal RNA
Source: RNAcentral